This 3119-nucleotide long non-coding RNA is filed under the name Vigna radiata. RNAcentral's name for it is "long non-coding RNA (VRAD_LNC011144)". The record is from RNAcentral. Lineage: Eukaryota; Viridiplantae; Streptophyta; Magnoliopsida; Fabales; Fabaceae.
GGAAUGGCAAACUUCGUGCUUCCCCUUUGCAGUCUGAGCAAGCACAAGUUCAGCUCUCUUUCCUGCAGCGUAUCACAGUCCACUGCAGAAUAUCACAAAAGGCAGGCUUAACACAGAGGAGUGUCCCUCCUGCAACGUUUACACAGUAAUGCUCAAAAUAUCUCAUACAAUGACAGUAAGAAAACGUCUUUGUUGCUCUUGCUAAAAAGUCUAUAUGCAAAGUUGUGUCAGGGGAAAGGAAAUUUGAAUGGCUUUCGCCGAUUGAUCCCCUUAACACAUGAAGAAGGAAAAAAAACAAAAGAAAUCCCAAGUCAGAAGGGAUAUGCACUCAUCAUACAGAAAGGAGAAGCACCAUUAUCAUUUUCACUCACACACUACGCAACUCUCUCUAUUCGCUCUCUACUCACUUAACAGAGACUCCCUCUUGCUCUGGACUCUCUUGGCUCCUCUCACUCGUAACCACUCCAAUGAUAUUUCCCUUUCACUCCCAAUUGUUCAUCGGCAAUAUUUCAUUAUCUGCAAUAUCUCAUUACCACAAGAGGACCUUCACCAGAGGAUUCAGUUUCAAGCACCUCAUCAUCGGAGCUUGAGCAUUGGAAACUCAUCACCAUUUACCUAUCGUCACAAUCUGGGAGGAAGAUACCUUACGGCCAGGGAAAAGGAGGACCAUUUGCCUUCACCCGGGAGAAUUCUAUUGAAGCUACGGAGGUAAGUGGCCCUAUCUAAGCUUCUCCCUAUCUAAGCUUCUCGGAUUUGGUCUUAUGCGACUGUCCGUUCCCCUGUUACAUGCCAUGUCUGAAUAUGAAUGAAUGAUGCUUGAUUAAUAAUAUAGUAGUGUUCUCUUCAUGACAUCAUCGUUUAAUCAAAUACCUGCAAGAUUCAUCAUGUAUCACUAACAGUAGAGACUAGGUACAUGUUCUCCAACAUCAUGAUUUCAAUACCCUCUACUUGUACCCAGAAAACACUAUAGAAAAAUGUAGAAGCAGAAUUAGAUGCAUUUCCAGAAUAGAAAAGAACAGAAAACCGAAACAACUUCCUCUAGCCAAACCAUAAGUCUUCUUCAAUCUGAACAAACCCAGAUCACAAAUCCCAUGCCCAUAGGUUUAAAGUUUGUCCUUUGAAACAAUCCAAGCACCCUGAAUCAAUCUCAGCCACGAAAAACCAAGUCAGAUGAUGAAACUAGGCCCCCUUGCUUUUGUUCACCUCAAGCCACUAACAAAGGAGUUAACCCCCUGAGCAAGAGAAACACAGAAAAAAAAAACCACAUACAAACCACCGUAUCAGAAUAAAAAUCCGAAACCCUCGAACAUUGUCUCGACGAACCAAAGUGGCUGUUUUGUUUGAUACACAAACCGCGGAACCACACUAGUGGUGGCCUCGGUGGCGGCAGUUUUCGUCUCUCUGGUGGCGGCGACUACGAUAGAAAGAAGGAGAAAAGAGUCACGCGCGCCGGUUGCGAUGGCAGGAUUCGUUCGUUGUGGUGGAGACUAGAUUUAUAGAAGCAACGGUUCUUCUCUCCCUCGCGCAGACUGGUCUUGUUGAUGGUUGGUGUUGCCGACGAUACCUUGGAUUGAGUGGCGACGGCUCCGGCAGCGAGUCGCGUCGCCGGCGCACCCCUGGUUCGUGAUCGGGAGGCGGCAGCGACCAGUUUCAGCGGCGGCGACCCUGGCGAGGACCAGUGACGCUCCGGCUGGUGGUGGCUGGGAUCUCCCAAGAAGCGACUAACGAAAGGCAGGAGCACAUCCUUCUCGCGCGUGAAGAUGAGAAGGGAGGGAGGAGAGCCAGGCGUCGUGGCCUGCGACGAGCAUAGGCAUCGUCGAUGGUUUGAACAGAGACUCGCGGUGGCCGGCCGGUUGGUGUUGGUGCCUCUGGGUUUACCGGCAGGGUGAAGGAGAGACCCUAGGUCUCUUGGAGUUGAGAGGAAGGGUGAAUGUUGUGAAUGAGGGGGAGGAGGCUGACCCUCUGUGUUAGUGUAUGAUAUUAUUUUUUAUAUUUUUUAUUAAUAAAAUAAAAUAAAUAAAUAAAAAAUACUUAAUUAAUUAGGGAAAAAUUGAAAAAGGAGGAUGAGGUAUAUAAAAUAAUUGAAAAGAGGAUGGUGCAAUUAUUGUCCCUAGAAAGGCAUGUUUCCUCGUUGAGGGAUUCUUCCUCCACCUCGUCAACUUCAUCCUGCACCUCCUUAAUUUCUUUUAUUUCCAACUGUACCCCUAUAUCCCUAAUCUAUUCAAAGAGCAUAUUUUGAUUACCCAAUCAGUCAUAAACCUUACUUGAAACCCUACACCUCUCCCCUCGUAACACUUAUCUGCCGCAUCUGACCUGACCCUCUCUUCUGCUCCGGUUCUCCCUCUGAGUGGGCUUCCUUUCCCUCCUCUCGUCGUUUUGUUCACUGUAUAUUUUCGUGGUGUUGUGAUUUGCUGUCUCCUUUUCUUUUCUUCACUCGUGUUGAUGCCGUGGUUGCAGGGUGUACAUCAACGUCCAGGUUAGCUUAUUUAUUUUUGAUUUGUGGUUGAUGUAGUAUAUCUGAUGGGAGAAAUGAUAGAAUGUUGUUGCUUGGUUGAUCUGCGCUUGUUUUAUUUGUGCUUGAUGUUGCUUGAUUUGUGCUGCUUGGCCAUUAUUUUCUGCUUGUAGGUUGGGUAAACCGCAAAUGGAAACGGCCGCCGCAAAUGAAACUGCGGUUAACGGCCGCCGCAGUUGGAUCUGCGGUUAAUGGCCGCCGCAGUUCGAUCUGCGAUUGCGGGCAACCGCAGGUGGAUCUGCGGUUGGUUUACGGGAGGUGCAUGGGCGAAACGCAGUACGAUCUGCGGCUUGGGCAAAACGCAGUCCGAUCUGCGGCUUGGUCGAAACGCAGGAUGAUCUGCGGCUAGGGCGAAACGAUCUGCUGGGUUCAGUCCCUGAUCUGCGGCUAGGGCGAAACAUGUUGAGGAGUUAUUAAUGAAAUCUGGUAAAAAAAACAUUGUUUUUGUCUGGUCUGCUACAAAAAGAGACGAGAGAAAUGGCGUAUGGAUGUUGCUGGUGGGGGCAGUGGCUGAAGGUUUGUUAACGAAAGAAAAGUAUUGAGAAGAUAAAAGUUAUGUAUUUUUAAUUUGUUUAUUUGUGAGUUAGGAAUAAUUGUUAAGUUUAAU